This 916-nucleotide ribosomal RNA is filed under the name uncultured bacterium. RNAcentral describes it as "bacterial SSU rRNA". It matches the Rfam family "Bacterial small subunit ribosomal RNA", at positions 246 to 1155 of the family's 1533-position model. The record is from RNAcentral.
UUGUUGGUAAGGUAAAAGCUUACCAAGGCUUCGAUCAGUAGCUGGUCUGAGAGGACGACCAGCCACACUGGGACUGAGACACGGCCCAGACUCCUACUGGAGGCAGCAGUGGGGAAUUUUGGACAAUGGGGGCAACCCUGAUCCAGCCAUGCCGCGUGAGUGAAGAAGGCCUUCGGGUUGUAAAGCUCUUUCAGCCGGAACGAAACGGUUACGGAUAACACCCGUGACUACUGACGGUACCGGAAGAAGAAGCACCGGCUAACUACGUGCCAGCAGCCGCGGUAAUACGUAGGGUGCGAGCGUUAAUCGGAAUCACUGGGCGUAAAGCGUGCGCAGGUGGUUUUGUAAGUCAGAUGUGAAAGCCCCGGGCUCAACCUGGGAACUGCGUUUGAAACUACAAGACUAGAGUGUGGCAGAGGGGGGUGGAAUUCCGCGUGUAGCAGUGAAAUGCGUAGAGAUGUGGAGGAACACCGAUGGCGAAGGCAGCCCCCUGGGUCAACACUGACGCUCAGGCACGAAAGCAUGGGGAGCAAACAGGAUUAGAUACCCUGGUAGUCCAUGCCCUAAACGAUGUCAACUAGUUGUCGGGCCUUUACGGGCUUGGUAACGUAGCUAACGCGUGAAGUUGACCGCCUGGGGAGUACGAUCGCAAGAUUAAAACUCAAAUGAAUUGACGGGGACCCGCACAAGCGGUGGAUUAUGUGGAUUAAUUCGAUGCAACGCGAAAAACCUUACCUACCCUUGACAUGUAUCGAAGCCCGCAGAAAAGCGGGGGUGCCCGAAAGGGAACGAUAACACASGUGCUGCAUGGCUGUCGUCAGCUCGUGUCGUGAGAUGUUGGGUUAAGUCCCGCAACGAGCGCAACCCUUGUCAUUAAUUGCCAUCAUUUAGUUGGGCACUUUAAUGAGACUGCCGG